UGGCUCAGUGGUAGAGCACUUGCCUUACAUGCAUGAGGCCCUGGGUUUGAUUCCUCAG
RNAcentral lists this transfer RNA (58 nucleotides) under Dipodomys ordii (Ord's kangaroo rat). It matches the Rfam family "tRNA", at positions 8 to 63 of the family's 71-position model. From Rfam's summary of the family: Transfer RNA (tRNA) molecules are approximately 80 nucleotides in length. Their secondary structure includes four short double-helical elements and three loops (D, anti-codon, and T loops). Lineage: Eukaryota; Metazoa; Chordata; Mammalia; Rodentia; Heteromyidae. The record is from Rfam by way of RNAcentral.